GGUUAAAUAAGGUUAAGUUAAUAAGGGCGCACGGUGGAUGCCUUGGCACUAGGAGCCGAAGAAGGACGUGACUAACGACGAAAUGCCUUGGGGAGCUGUAAGUAAGCAUUGAUCCAGGGAUGUCCGAAUGGGGGAACCCAACAUGUAAUGCAUGUUAUCCAUGACUGUUAAGGUCAUGCGAAGGAAGACGCAGUGAACUGAAACAUCUAAGUAGCUGCAGGAAGAGAAAGCAAAAGCGAUUGCCUUAGUAGCGGCGAGCGAAACGGCAGGAGGGCAAACCGAAGAGUUUACUCUUCGGGGUUGUAGGACUGCAAUGUGGACUCAGAAUUUGUAGAAGAAUCCUCUGGGAAGGGGAGCCAAAGAGAGUAAGAGCCUCGUAUUCGAAACAGAAUCUGUACCUAGCAGAAUCCUGAGUACGGCGGGACACGCGAAAUCCCGUCGGAAUCUGGGAGGACCAUCUCCCAACCCUAAAUACUCCCUAGUGACCGAUAGUGAACCAGUACCGUGAGGGAAAGGUGAAAAGCACCCCGGGAGGGGAGUGAAAUAGAACCUGAAACCGUGUGCCUACAACAAGUUCGAGCCCGUUAAUGGGUGAGAGCGUGCCUUUUGUAGAAUGAACCGGCGAGUUAUGAUAUGAUGCGAGGUUAAGUUGAAGAGACGGAGCCGCAGGGAAACCGAGUCUGAAUAGGGCGAAUUAGUAUCAUGUUAUAGACCCGAAACCAUGUGACCUACCCAUGAGCAGGUUGAAGGUGCGGUAAAACGCACUGGAGGACCGAACCAGGGCACGUUGAAAAGUGCUUGGAUGACUUGUGGGUAGCGGAGAAAUUCCAAACGAACUUGGAGAUAGCUGGUUCUCUCCGAAAUAGCUUUAGGGCUAGCGUCGAUGUUAAGUCUCUUGGAGGUAGAGCACUGUUUGGGUGAGGGGUCCAUCUCGGAUUACCAAUCUCAGAUAAACUCCGAAUGCCAACGAGAUAUAAUCGGCAGUCAGACUGCGAGUGCUAAGAUCCGUAGUCGAAAGGGAAACAGCCCAGACCACCAGCUAAGGUCCCAAAAUAAUUGUUAAGUGGAAAAGGAUGUGGGGUUGCACAGACAACUAGGAUGUUAGCUUAGAAGCAGCUAUUCAUUCAAAGAGUGCGUAAUAGCUCACUAGUCGAGUGACCCUGCGCCGAAAAUGUACCGGGGCUAAAACAAUUUACCGAAGCUGUGGAUACCUAUUUAUAGGUAUGGUAGGAGAGCGUUCUAUGUGUGGAGAAGGUGUACCGUGAGGAGCGCUGGAACGCAUAGAAGUGAGAAUGCCGGUAUGAGUAGCGAAAGAUGGGUGAGAAUCCCAUCCACCGUAAGACUAAGGUUUCCAGGGGAAGGCUCGUCCGCCCUGGGUUAGUCGGGACCUAAGGAGAGACCGAAAGGUGUAUCCGAUGGCCAACAGGUUGAUAUUCCUGUACUAGAGUAUGAAGUGAUGGAGGGACGCAGUAGGCUAACUCAACCGGACGAUUGGAAGAGUCCGGCUAAUCAGUGAGGCGUGGUAUGAGUCAAAUGCUUAUACCUGUAACGUUGAGCUGUGAUGGGGAGCGAAGAUUAGUAGCGAAGUGAGUGAUGUCACACUGCCAAGAAAAGCUUCUAGCGAUGUAUCAUACUCUACCCGUACCGCAAACCGACACAGGUAGUCGAGGCGAGUAGCCUCAGGUGAGCGAGAGAACUCUCGUUAAGGAACUCGGCAAAAUGACCCCGUAACUUCGGGAGAAGGGGUGCUCAGCUAGACUGAGCCGCAGUGAAUAGGCCCAAGCAACUGUUUAUCAAAAACACAGCUCUCUGCUAAAUCGUAAGAUGAUGUAUAGGGGGUGACGCCUGCCCGGUGCUGGAAGGUUAAGAGGAGGGUUUAGCGGUAACGCGAAGAUCUGAAUUGAAGCCCCAGUAAACGGCGGCCGUAACUAUAACGGUCCUAAGGUAGCGAAAUUCCUUGUCGGGUAAGUUCCGACCCGCACGAAAGGCGUAAUGAUUUGGGCACUGUCUCAACGAGAGACUCGGUGAAAUUUUAGUACCUGUGAAGAUGCAGGUUACCCGCGACAGGACGGAAAGACCCCAUGGAGCUUU
The sequence is a ribosomal RNA, 2091 nucleotides long. It matches the Rfam family "Bacterial large subunit ribosomal RNA", at positions 1 to 2102 of the family's 2925-position model.